CUUCUCUGCCUCCUGAGAAGCUGCCACUGGAGGAUUCCUCUUCUGGAGCUUAUGGAACUGGUCACUACAGAGUAGUUGCAAAGAAUGGGUAAUUUGAUGAACCAUGAUGAGGAAGAAAUAGAGGCAUAGAAAUGACAUCACUUGUGAGUAUGCUGCAACAUUUCACAAUAAAGGCAACAUAUGGGGAGGAGUGAUACCUUUUAGAAGCAGUACCUGUAAUGGAGAUUCCCCAAGUUACAAUUUUUAUAUCCUGUCCUUGGGUUGAGCUCAUCUCAUUUCCUCUUCUGAUUGGCUGCCUGUUGAGCUCCUCCAUUUACUUCACCUGCUGCCAAUGCUGAAAAUGAAAGGCUACAAAUAAUAUUUCAUUUCUCAUAAAAGGUCUCACCAUACUGCUCAUGAUAAUCUCUGACUCAGGCCCUGAGGAGGUGCUUCUCACUUGUCUCCUGUUGAGCUUUCACUGAAGACACAGACUCCACACCAGCUGGUGGAAUGUGAGGUAUUUCUGAUACAGAGUCUGACUACUGCUCAGUGAGGUUGCAACAUAAGCACUGAAGCCACGCUUCCUCUCAGCAUCCUGAGAAGCUCACACUGGAGACCGCUGCUCUCAGCUUAUGAUGCUACACAGAAACACAUGUGCUGUCAUCUGCAUCACAGAGUGAAAUUACAUAAACAGGACCAGUAAAUAAGGUAUGCUGCUAAGAGGAUGAUUUGCAUAGCCCAGGCUUUCAACAGCAGCCAGUGUCUCACAAGCUUGCUCAUGAUAAUCUCAGACUCAGGUUUGGAGGAAGUACUUCUACCAACUUCUGAGAAGGUUUUAUUGAAGACAUGGUCAGCAUAUCUAGUUGGUGGUAUUGUAAAUUUUGGUGCUUUUUCCUUUCCUUUACAAUUACUAAUUUCUUGCAUGUAAAAUUCAAUUACAUUUUUAUAUUUCAAUUCACUAGUUUGUU
This is a long non-coding RNA of Onychomys torridus (southern grasshopper mouse), 947 nucleotides long. RefSeq lists it as uncharacterized. The transcript has 9 exons. The record is from RefSeq and is a predicted model, not a curated record. NCBI's taxonomy places the organism in Eukaryota, Metazoa, Chordata, Mammalia, Rodentia, Cricetidae.